UGAAACAUAAACAGAUGGAAAAAUAUGAAGUAACACAACAAUAUUCCAGAACAGUAUAUGUAUAAAAAAUCACUUACAAAAACUCAAACUAGUAAUUCAAAAUAAAAAAAUAUUCCCAAAUCAUACCAAGCCACAGAAACAGCGUCCUUACCAUGCAUAAUAAUCAAAACACGUUAUCCAUAUUGCCAAUAACCAAACAUUCACACAAACAGACUUAUUUUUAGAUGCAAAACGAAUGCAACAAGUCAAACGUCCCACCCCACCAACC
This 268-nucleotide long non-coding RNA is filed under the name Gossypium raimondii (Peruvian cotton). RNAcentral describes it as "long non-coding RNA (GRAI_LNC002571)". Lineage: Eukaryota; Viridiplantae; Streptophyta; Magnoliopsida; Malvales; Malvaceae. The record is from RNAcentral.